Long non-coding RNA from Xenia sp. Carnegie-2017, 1196 nucleotides. RefSeq lists it as uncharacterized. NCBI's taxonomy places the organism in Eukaryota, Metazoa, Cnidaria, Anthozoa, Malacalcyonacea, Xeniidae. The record is from RefSeq and is a predicted model, not a curated record. The transcript is spliced from 3 exons.
GCUAAAACGAUGUGCAAAUUGCCCAUUGCACACCGUUAAUUCGCACACUGGCCUCAAGAGACAGCACAAGCUUCUUUACAGUCAACCACUGAUCUUCAUGCAGUUGGUGUACAGGAUACAUCAGUGUCCCCCCAGUGGAAAAGGCUACACUUUUCAUCGUCUGAGAUGGAUUGACAUCUGAAGAAUGGUCUUCCCGGAUUAUCGAUACAUUGGGAGACCCAGAGGCUGGCAGGAUACCCGCAUACGCAGAAAGGAAACUUAAAUUCUUGCAAUACUUUCAUUUCGUAUGCGUCCAUAACUGUAGGGUACUUUUCUUCAGGGCAGAACAAUGUGCAUACCUCACUCCUGCAUUUGACGUAGGCACGUUCGUCCUUACUGGAUACGAUUCUCUCCAAACUAGCAUCGCAGAAACACGGAUAUUUCUCAAGGGACACCAUGAUGGUCACGUUUUGCUCUUUCUGUCCUCGGGUUUAAUUCGUAAAUGAAAACGCAAGUGAAGCAAAUGUGCUGCGAGAGCGUUUUCGCCGCUUUUUUUAAAGUGUUGUACUACACAUAAAUUAUCAUUUACAGACGCGUGAUUUUCUUUGAAGAAUAGAUUACACUCAUACAGUGAAAUGCUAAAUUCACGUGUAAGAUCAACGCUUAUUCAAAUCGGCAAUUUCCAUUCAGUCACAUUGUCAAACAUCUUCCCGAGGGUCCUUAUUAUUCACUGCAUCAUUCCCCCUUAAUUCCAUUCAGUCACAUUGUCAAGCAUCUUCCCGAGGAUCCUUAUCAUUAACUGCAUCGUUUCCCUUAAGAUACCGCACUUCAAAUAGGCAAUUUCCAUUCAGUCACAUUGUCAGGCAUCUUCCCGAGGAUCCUUAUCAUUAACUGCAUCGUUUCCCUUAAGAUACCGCACUUCAAAUAGGCAAUUUCCAUUCAGUCACAUUGUCAGGCAUCUUCCCGAGGGUCCUUAUCAUUAACUGCAUCGUUUCCCCCUUAAGAUACCGCACUCGUUAAUGGAUCUUAUCUUCACAACCUGACUUUCUUUUCAAUUUCUGUUUAAUACCGACACAUGAUGAAACCACAAGACAAUAUUCAAGGCACACUGUUUAAUGACGAUAAAAACUCUGCAAAAAAUCAAGACACACAAGUCGCAAAGUCAGAAAGAAUGGCAUCGUCACCACAGAUCUAAUAAUACACUAGAUAGUGCAACG